CCUGGUGGUUAUGGCGGAGCGGCUGCACCCGAUCCCAUUCCGAACUCGGCCGUGAAACGCUCCAGCGCUGAUGGUACUUCGUCUCAAGACGCGGGAGAGUAAGUCGCUGCCAGGUCUGCCAA
This 122-nucleotide ribosomal RNA is filed under the name Aminobacter sp. AP02. Lineage: Bacteria; Pseudomonadati; Pseudomonadota; Alphaproteobacteria; Hyphomicrobiales; Phyllobacteriaceae. The record is from RNAcentral.